GAAAAAUUAUUCUAAAUAUCCCUUUAAACAGAGAGAAACAGCAAUGGCAAAAAGUCCAGUAUUGUUUCCAUGCUUGAUGGUUUUAUGUCUCGUAAUAUUUGCAACAGGAUUUGUGAAUGGUUGUAACCACCGCUGCCAUGAUGUAACUGCUUGUUUUAAACUGCGCUGUGCUCCUGAUUGCCAAAAGCAAUGCCGCAACCAGUGCUGCGAUUGCUUCUGUCCUGGAAAUGAAAAACCUGAAAUAAAGAUGUAACAAUUCCUUCUAAUAAUUUCAUAUUGUUUACAUAUUAAUAAUAAUAAUAAUAAUAAUAAUAAUAAUAAAUAUUACCUGAAACAUUUUUUGAUACA
Vigna angularis (adzuki bean) is the source of this 348-nucleotide long non-coding RNA. RefSeq lists it as uncharacterized. The transcript is spliced from 2 exons. The record is from RefSeq and is a predicted model, not a curated record. Lineage: Eukaryota; Viridiplantae; Streptophyta; Magnoliopsida; Fabales; Fabaceae.